AACGAACGCUGGCGGCAUGCCUAACACAUGCAAGUCGAACGAGACCUUCGGGUCUAGUGGCGCACGGGUGCGUAACGCGUGGGAACCUGCCCUUAGGUUCGGAAUAACUCCCCGAAAGGGGUGCUAAUACCGGAUAAUGUCUUCGGACCAAAGAUUUAUCGCCUUUGGAUGGGCCCGCGUUGGAUUAGCUAGUUGGUAGGGUAAAAGCCUACCAAGGCGACGAUCCAUAGCUGGCCUGAGAGGAUGAUCAGCCACACUGGGACUGAGACACGGCCCAGACUCCUACGGGAGGCAGCAGUGGGGAAUAUUGGACAAUGGGCGAAAGCCUGAUCCAGCAAUGCCGCGUGAGUGAUGAAGGCCUUAGGGUUGUAAAGCUCUUUUACCCGGGAUGAUAAUGACAGUACCGGGAGAAUAAGCGCCGGCUAACUCCGUG
Molecule: ribosomal RNA, 433 nt
Filed under: uncultured bacterium
Lineage: Bacteria
Description: partial 16S ribosomal RNA
Rfam family: Bacterial small subunit ribosomal RNA
Source: RNAcentral